This 89-nucleotide microRNA precursor is filed under the name human gammaherpesvirus 4 (Epstein-Barr virus). RNAcentral's name for it is "Human gammaherpesvirus 4 (Epstein-Barr virus) miR-BART10". The stretch from base 4 to 83 matches the Rfam family "mir-BART10 microRNA precursor family". The record is from RNAcentral. Lineage: Duplodnaviria; Heunggongvirae; Peploviricota; Herviviricetes; Herpesvirales; Orthoherpesviridae.
CAGAGGAUGUCCCGGGGCCACCUCUUUGGUUCUGUACAUAUUUUGUUAUUGUACAUAACCAUGGAGUUGGCUGUGGUGCACUCCAUCUG